Cryptomeria japonica (Japanese cedar) is the source of this 1147-nucleotide long non-coding RNA. RefSeq lists it as uncharacterized. NCBI's taxonomy places the organism in Eukaryota, Viridiplantae, Streptophyta, Pinopsida, Cupressales, Cupressaceae. The record is from RefSeq and is a predicted model, not a curated record. The transcript has 2 exons.
CUUUGGGGCUCCUCUAAAUGGGUUUUUCUCCCAUAAAAUAUUUUAUAGAUUAGCGUGUUCCAGUAGAACCCUGAUUUAUAGGGAAAGAGCAUUAAAAGUGAUAUAAAUAAUAAGCGGGUCCUCAUAUGACCGUAAAUUUAGACGGUCUCCCUCUGUAUAAUCUAUUCACGAUUCUACGUAUACAGCCAAACCGUAGAAGUAUCAUUUAUACGCAUCUUUUACAUGGAUACAUACCUCGGAUACGCACUGUGCAGAAAUUUCUCAAUUGUUUCCACACCUUUCUGAAAUUAUCUGUAGCACUCCGAGUUUCUGUAUUUAGACGGAUUGUUCCAUUAUUGGCGCGGAUCCCGGAGGAAUUACAACCAAAAUUUUGCCUCAAGACAGCAAUAAAGGUUUAUAAUUUUCUGGCCUGUAGUCUGAAGCCAUGAGUCUUUCAUGUCUAGCAUGCCAUGGUGUAAAUAGCCCAUCAGAGUCAUUUAGGAGCUAUUCAUCUUCAGGCUCAGAUGGCGAAGGUAGAUGCGGAGCAAUAGUAAACUGCUGGUCCAGGAAACCUAAUGAUUUAACUCCUGCAGAGGUUACAAACAACAACAUGAGUUCCAGGGUGGCCCCACAACCUACUGUAAGCAGUGAAAGUCCUCCUGGCAGCCCUCGCUUGGUGCGUAGUCGUGCAGUUCGAAGAGAUAAAUUCAGGGAUUGGCACAUUGGUGAGAUGACUGAGGAAGUUAGGCUCUGGGAAUAGAGGAAUCAUUUUAUUGCUUUUGGGCCAGGGCUCAAAAGGUUAUUAUGCAGACCGAUGUUGUCUCUCUGCUAUGGUCUUGUGCAUUAUGUUAGAAAAGUAAUGUCUGGUUCUAGAAGGGAAUUAUCAUGAUGUGGUGUGGGCAUGGUGUGUUAAUAAAGAUUAGGGGCACAUUAUUUAAUGGUCUCAAUAAAAGGCAAAGUUUGACUUUGCUUAGAUCUUGCUAGAGGAUCUGAGUAAGAUAUGCCUGUUUGCUUUUUAUAUCAUGUUGUAUGUCCUCGAAGCAUUCAGCUGCUUCAAAUAUGAGAUUAUCAUGCCAUUGGUCAGAAGCAAAGUCUUUGCCACGAUCUUAACUAUCUGCUGUUUGAACAUGUGUAUAAUUAAACAUUUAAUCGUGUAACUUUUUCUCUA